GCUCAAUGAUUUUUUAAAUUGCUGUAGUAUUUUGACUAUACAAAGGUAUUGUAAUAAGAUUUUAAUUGAAUGCUAAGAGAAUGGAUUAACAAAAAAAUUCUUUUUUAAUUUUAAAAAUUGAAGUUAAUUUUUUUUGUGCAGAAACUAUAAUAAAAAUUAAGGACAAGAAGACCCUAAGAAUUUUAAACUAUUAAUUUUAGUUCUAAAUUUUUUUAGUUUUAAUUGGGGCGAUUGAUUAAAAUUUUAAACUUUGUUUUAAAAUAAGAUGAACCGUUAGUAACGGUAAUAUGAUAAAAAUACUCUAGGGAUAACAGCGUUAUAAUUUUUGAUAGUUCUUAUAGACAAAAUAGUUUGCGACCUCGAUGUUGGAUUAGGAUUCUUAUUUAAUGAAGAAGUUAAAAAGAAGUU
This 408-nucleotide ribosomal RNA is filed under the name Amblyomma integrum. RNAcentral's name for it is "partial 16S ribosomal RNA". The record is from RNAcentral. Lineage: Eukaryota; Metazoa; Arthropoda; Arachnida; Ixodida; Ixodidae.